AUAUCUCUCUGUACGGGAAGGAUGAGAAGCUUCGACUAAGGUUCGAUUCGAGCGUCAGCGAGAAAGCGUUGCC
This 73-nucleotide small RNA is filed under the name Salmonella enterica subsp. enterica serovar Heidelberg. RNAcentral describes it as "partial RtT sRNA". It matches the Rfam family "RtT RNA", at positions 1 to 72 of the family's 130-position model. Rfam says of the family: This family represents a bacterial cis-regulatory element known as RtT RNA. The exact function of RtT is unknown although it is thought that it may be involved in changing the cellular response in relation to amino acid starvation. The record is from RNAcentral. Lineage: Bacteria; Pseudomonadati; Pseudomonadota; Gammaproteobacteria; Enterobacterales; Enterobacteriaceae. RNAcentral also lists the same sequence under 4 other names.